AGAAGAACGUUGACAAGGAGUAGUAACGGCGGCGCUGAAACAAGAGAAUUGGCGGAAGGUGCAAGCCAAUCAGAGAACCCCGUGAACUCGCCUUUGAGUUGCAAAUAUGACCCGUUUUAGUAUUUGCCGUAUUCCGCGUUAAGGACUUAAAGUGAGUGCUUGCACUAAUUUGGGUGGUACCGCGGGAGAACCCUCUCGUCCCUUUU
RNAcentral lists this non-coding RNA (206 nucleotides) under Heyndrickxia coagulans. Its description in RNAcentral is "Bacillus coagulans T-box sequence". It matches the Rfam family "T-box leader". Rfam says of the family: Uncharged tRNA acts as the effector for transcription antitermination of genes in the T-box leader family. T-boxes are found upstream of many aminoacyl-tRNA synthetase genes and some amino acid biosynthetic genes usually in Gram-positive bacteria. Lineage: Bacteria; Bacillati; Bacillota; Bacilli; Caryophanales; Bacillaceae. The record is from RNAcentral.